Molecule: long non-coding RNA, 611 nt
Filed under: Olea europaea subsp. europaea
Lineage: Eukaryota; Viridiplantae; Streptophyta; Magnoliopsida; Lamiales; Oleaceae
Source: RNAcentral
UUACCUCAACGUACCUUGGCAACAGAUAUUCUUUCACAUACAAGACAUAGUGUUGGUUGUCUAUUAAUGCCAAAGGCAACUCAACACCAGCAACAAACUUCACCAUUCCGGUUCGAGCUUUCUCCUCCGAAUACACCCAUGUGGAUAAGGUUGCAGUAGAACCACCUGCGUUUGGACUGCCAAAUUGCAAUUGUGUUUGACAGCCAGGAAUAAGUCCGUGCUUGGCUGCCCAUACUUUGUAAUGACGGUUGAGAUGGGUGGUACCAAUUCUUCUUUGCCAUGCCAAUCUUUGUUGGUAGUAUUUACAUACUGCUUUGGAUUCUUAGACUCCAUUGACGAUUUUUUCCGUUGAAAUCAACUUAAUGUGAUCCCAACAUUUUGCUUGUUUUUUCCCCUUUCGGUUUCCUCUUGCAUCAGGAAUAUUUAAUUCAGUCUCUUCUUCCUGAUCGUGUUCCUCUUCGAGAACGUCAACAUCAUCCAAAUUAAUUGGAUAAUUUGGAUUGCCGCUUACAUGAUGAUGAAAAUCCAAAUCUGAAAUAUUUUUAGGUAGGGGUACGUUAUUUAGACCUUCAAAUUGCUUCUGAAGUUGACUUUGUGGUGUCAUAAGCGAU